GACGAACGCUGGCGGCGUGCCUAACACAUGCAAGUCGAGCGGAGUCGAUCGACGGAAGCCUUCGGGCGGAAGAUGGUUGACUUAGCGGCGGAUGGGUGAGUAACGCGUGGGCAACCUGCCUCGAAGACCGGGAUAACAGCCCGAAAGGGCUGCUAAUACCGGAUGUGGUCAAGGAUCCGCAUGGAUUUUUGAUUAAAGGGGAAACCCGUUUCGAGAUGGGCCCGCGUCCUAUCAGCUAGUUGGUGAGGUAAAAGCUCACCAAGGCGACGACGGGUAGCCGGCCUGAGAGGGUGACCGGCCACACUGGAACUGAGACACGGUCCAGACUCCUACGGGGGGCAGCAGUGGGGAAUCUUCCACAAUGGGCGAAAGCCUGAUGGAGCGACGCCGCGUGAGCGAAGAAGGCCUUCGGGUUGUAAAGCUCUGUCUGGAGGGACGAAGGAAGUGACGGUACCUCCGGAGGAGCCACGGCUAACGUACGUG
This 483-nucleotide ribosomal RNA is filed under the name uncultured bacterium. RNAcentral's name for it is "bacterial SSU rRNA". It matches the Rfam family "Bacterial small subunit ribosomal RNA", at positions 28 to 507 of the family's 1533-position model. The record is from RNAcentral.